RNAcentral lists this ribosomal RNA (497 nucleotides) under uncultured bacterium. RNAcentral's name for it is "partial 16S ribosomal RNA". It matches the Rfam family "Bacterial small subunit ribosomal RNA", at positions 28 to 507 of the family's 1533-position model. The record is from RNAcentral.
GAUGAACGCUGGCGGCGUGCCUAAUACAUGCAAGUCGAGCGAACAGAUGAGGAGCUUGCUCCUCUGACGUUAGCCGCGCACGGGUGAGUAACACGUGGAUAACCUACCUAUAAGACUGGGAUAACUUCGGGAAACCGGAGCUAAUACCGUAUAAUAUAUUGAACCGCAUUGUUCAAUAGUGAAAGACGGUUGUGCUGUCACUUAUAGAUGGAUCCGCGCCGCAUUAGCUAGUUGGUAAGGUAACGGCUUACCAAGGCAACGAUGCGUAGCCGACGUGUGUGGCUGGUCGGCCGCACGAGAACUGAGACACGGACAAGAGUCCUACGGUACGCAGCAGUAGGGAAUCUUCCGCAAUGGGCGAAAGCCUGGCGGAGCAGCGGCGCGUGAGUGAUGAAAGUCUUCGGAUCGUAAAACUCUGUUAUUAGGGAAGAACAGAUGUGUAAUUAACUAUGCACGCCUUGACGGUACCUAAUCAGAAAGCAACGGCUAACUACGUG